GGCAGUUCUUGGGUGAUGCACCCAGGAAUUGGGCUCCCUCCUCUCUGGUUCCGGGGUGCAUCACCCGAGAAUCGCA
Myotis lucifugus (little brown bat) is the source of this 76-nucleotide non-coding RNA. Lineage: Eukaryota; Metazoa; Chordata; Mammalia; Chiroptera; Vespertilionidae. The record is from Rfam.